CCUACGGGAGGCAGCAGUGGGGAAUAUUGGACAAUGGGCGCAAGCCUGAUCCAGCCAUGCCGCGUGUGUGAAGAAGGCUCUAGGGUUGUAAAGCACUUUCAGUAGGGAGGAAGGCCAGAGGCUUAAUAAGUCUUUGGAUUGACGUUACCUACAGAAGCAGCACCGGCUAACUCCGUGCCAGCAGCCGCGGUAAUA
Molecule: ribosomal RNA, 195 nt
Filed under: uncultured Gammaproteobacteria bacterium
Lineage: Bacteria; Pseudomonadati; Pseudomonadota; Gammaproteobacteria
Description: partial 16S ribosomal RNA
Rfam family: Bacterial small subunit ribosomal RNA
Source: RNAcentral